CCGUGAGGUGUUGGUUAAGUCCCGCAACGAGCGCAACCCUUAUCGUUAGUUGCCAUCUGGUAAUGCAGGGGACUCUAGCGAAACUGCCACGUAAGGUGAGAGGAAGGUGGGAUGACGUCGAAAUCAGCACGGCCCUUAUGUCCAGGGCUACACACGUGUUACAAUGGUCGGUACAGAGGGCAGCUACCUGGUGACAGGAUGCUAAUCUCGAAAACCGGUCUCAGUUCGGAUCGAAGUCUGCAACUCGACUUCGUGAAGCUGGAUUCGCUAGUAAUCGCGCAUCAGCUAUGGCGCGAUGAAUACGUUCCCGGGCCUU
Molecule: ribosomal RNA, 316 nt
Filed under: uncultured Sphingobacteriales bacterium
Lineage: Bacteria; Pseudomonadati; Bacteroidota; Sphingobacteriia; Sphingobacteriales
Description: bacterial SSU rRNA
Rfam family: Bacterial small subunit ribosomal RNA
Source: RNAcentral